This 253-nucleotide unclassified non-coding RNA is filed under the name uncultured Alphaproteobacteria bacterium. RNAcentral describes it as "contains 16S-23S intergenic spacer region". It matches the Rfam family "Bacterial small subunit ribosomal RNA", at positions 524 to 776 of the family's 1533-position model. The record is from RNAcentral. Lineage: Bacteria; Pseudomonadati; Pseudomonadota; Alphaproteobacteria.
UACGGAGGGGGCUAGCGUUGUUCGGAAUUACUGGGCGUAAAGCGCACGUAGGCGGCCUGGCAAGUUGGGCGUGAAAGCCCGGGGCUCAACCCCGGAACUGCGUUCAAGACUGCGAGGCUCGAGUUCGGGAGAGGAGAGUGGAAUUCCCAGUGUAGAGGUGAAAUUCGUAGAUAUUGGGAAGAACACCGGUGGCGAAGGCGGCUCUCUGGACCGACACUGACGCUGAGGUGCGAAAGCGUGGGGAGCAAACAGG